This 450-nucleotide ribosomal RNA is filed under the name uncultured bacterium. Its description in RNAcentral is "partial 16S ribosomal RNA". It matches the Rfam family "Bacterial small subunit ribosomal RNA", at positions 29 to 523 of the family's 1533-position model. The record is from RNAcentral.
AGCGAACGCUGGCGGCAGGCUUAACACAUGCAAGUCGAGCGGGCAUAGCAAUAUGUCAGCGGCAGACGGGUGAGUAACGCGUGGGGACGUACCUUUUGGUUCGGAACAACACAGGGAAACUUGUGCUAGUACCGGAUAAGCCCUUACGGGAAAGAUUUAUCGCCGAAAGAUCGGCCCGCGUCUGAUUAGCUAGUUGGUGAGGUAAUGGCUCACCAAGGCGACGAUCAGUAGCUGGUCUGAGAGGAUGAUCAGCCACAUUGGGACUGAGACACGGCCCAAACUCCUACGGGAGGCAGCAGUGGGGAAUAUUGGACAAUGGGCGCAAGCCUGAUCCAGCCAUGCCGCGUGAGUGAUGAAGGCCCUAGGGUUGUAAAGCUCUUUUGUGCGGGAAGAUAAUGACGGUACCGCAAGAAUAAGCCCCGGCUAACUUCGUGCCAGCCGCCGCAGUAA